UGUCAUUAUUUUCAUAAACAAACCCACCCAAAGUUCUAUUGCGUCCUUGCGGGGUUCAGUUGGGGUUUUCAUUUGUUGAACUGUGAAGGAUCUGAAAGAAAAAAUAAACACUGGUUACUUCGCUUUUCCCGUUUUGUACAAUGGCGCAAGAUCAAUACUCACCGGCGCGACCAUCGAUGCUCGAUGCAGUACCUGUAUUUCUCGUUCUUCUAAUAGCAGCUCAUGUUCUCGGUCUGGUAUUUUGGAUUUAUAAAUUAGCAACACAGAAACAGCCACUUCAGAGGCGAAAGGCUCACUGAAAGAGAAGUUACAAGUUUGCAUCCUUGGAGAAAAGAAAUUUUGCAGCUGAUUGCUUUGGGAAAUUGGCAGUGCUCGGAAGUGGCAGGCUAUAAAAUUUUGAUCAUUUUCCUCAAGGUCUUCUGAGAUUGUUGAAAUAGAGAAUCUAUACUCGAGUUUUGUAUUUUAUUUGGUCUUUUGUUACUUGUCACUAGUUAUUUAUCAGUCGUUCUUGCUGUACAACAAAAUUUGAGUUGAUGAAGUGCAUUAUUAGGAGUAGAAUAAAUAUUACAAGUUUCAUUUCUGAUACUUGUUAAUUUGUUGGUAUACCUUGGGCUGUAUGUUUAAGAAUAUAGUAGUAAAAUAUGCUUUUUGAUAGAAGAAUGCAGCGGUAGAAUAUUCACCUAA
Medicago truncatula (barrel medic) is the source of this 684-nucleotide long non-coding RNA. RefSeq lists it as uncharacterized. The record is from RefSeq and is a predicted model, not a curated record. The transcript is spliced from 3 exons. NCBI's taxonomy places the organism in Eukaryota, Viridiplantae, Streptophyta, Magnoliopsida, Fabales, Fabaceae.